RNAcentral lists this transfer RNA (64 nucleotides) under Stricticollis tobias. RNAcentral's name for it is "tRNA-Pro". The record is from RNAcentral. Lineage: Eukaryota; Metazoa; Arthropoda; Insecta; Coleoptera; Anthicidae.
CAGGAAAUAGUUUAAUAAAAAUAUUAAUUUUGGAGAUUAAAGAUGAGUAUUUACUUUUUCCUGA